UUUUUCUAUUUAAUCCUUCUUAUAAUUCCAGAAGUUUUAAAUAUUUAAAUUUUUCGCGCGCCUGGAUGAAAAAAAAGUCAUGUCAUCUUAGCCAAUCAGAAAACUACUAAUAUGAAUCUAUGGCAUAUGGCGUCAGUCUGGUAUCGAAACUCAAUCGUAAUAGCACGCGUCAGUUCGUAUCAAAUAUAAACGAUAUUUGUGCUACAAUUUAUAAAUUUUGUUUAACUAAUACGUUAUUUAUUCGCAAGACGUUACUAUUAAACAGUUCUUUUGAAGUUUUUUUACUUUUUUGUUGAUCAAUUAUUCGAGUGUUAAAUUUGCCGGUAUACAUCUGAAGUAUACAUCUGAAACAGGAAUUGAUGUUUUCACUCGUUCCAUGCUCGAUGUGUUUCAACGUGUCCCGAUCUGUUGCUAAACUCUCGAAUAUAUCCCCUCCCAUAUUUGUAUUUGUGCGAUGACGUCACAGUGCAAAAAACUUGUAACCGCUAGAAUUGUGAAAAAGCUUCGCAUCGACAAGAUGGAGGUGGCGGAAGACCGGUCCUCGAGGAUCGGAGGCGUCGUCCUCGCCGAUGGCCCCGCGGAUUGUCGCCCGCUUCGACCGCCGCUCGACGACGCGCACGGCUCGUCCGACCAACCCGUCUGCCCUCGAGACAUCCUGAAACCGUACAUGGAACAAGAAACACGGAAUUCGCGUUUACAAGAAUGUGGACGAGGAGAGCGGGAGAGAAUGGAGAUCCACGGGGCGUACGAGGUCACGGAGGAGACGAGUUAAACAGCAUCCAACAUCCUCCUCCCCCUCCUCCUCCUCCGUAUAUGCGCACGGAGGCUAUUCUCCGUCGGAAUGCAUCGAGCGGCAAAUGUUCUCCUUUUCUUCCUCCAGUGUGGAGGAGGGGAGGGGAGGGCGAUUGUUCAGCACGGCGAAAAUUCGGCGAUUCCCCGAAGUAAAGUGGAAGAAGUCUCACUGGAAGGAAACGCGUUCCAUUUUCAUUCUACCAUGAUCUGAAGCUCGAUCCUAAAGAGAAUUGUAAGUUUAAUAGGUGGUGGAAUAAAAGGGGACGUGGAGAGGUGUCUUCCGAAGGCGAGCGAUUUUCUUCUUGCGAACAAAGAGAGUCGAGGCAAUAUCGUUUUGGACGGAGAUUUGGCUACAUGUAAUUGGACACAUCGAAUUUGCAUCGGGUUUAGAUGCAAGCGGCCGACAUCCUUGCGAUUCCACCGUUUAUAAACUGUCUGCACUUAAAGGGGAGGAGGGUGGUGAGCGAGGCCGGGUAUUAGAGAGAGGUGAUCCUAACCCGACCCAGAUUUCACCCUCGUCGGUCGUGGGUGAAUUUCGAAAUGAAAGAAACCCGCGCCCGAUCGAUUCCGCUCGUCGCCGCCGUUGAAAAGAAGAAAAAGAAAAAAGGAAAAGAAGAAGAAGAGGAGGAGGAGGAAAGAAGGAGACGAGAUGAGAAAAAGAAUCGAUCGAGAUAAAAGAAAGAAAGAAAAAGGAGGAAAAAAUUGAUUCGACAAUUAAAUCGCGACGUGUACCAUCCAUUCCCUGUUAAAUUUCAAAAAUUCGUGGAAACAAGAUCGAGUGAAAUUGGCGUGGAACAAGAAAUCCUUAAUGUCUGACAAAGAAAGAGAAUUCUCCUCGACUCGUAAAAAUUUCACGUAUGCGAAAGAAUCGAAAGGAGAAAGAAGAGGAGGAGGAGGACGACAAAGAACUUAGCUACGCCAAGAGUUUUCGGGAAAAGGAAACACGAGAAGAGAGAGAGAGAGAGAGUUUAAUUACGAGUAAAAAUCGAGUUUGCUCGAUCGGCGUCGAGAUUGUCGCCUUGCGAAACGAAGUCUCGCGAUUAUUAGAUUUCCAGCGGAGGGGGUUGUUGGUCGUCUCUCUUCUGGAGAGGGGUCGAAGGCAUUGGCUAAACAGUGUAAGCCCGUCCUGCGAUCCAAACGGGGACAGGGACGGCCGGGGGGGUGGGACGGAGACAGACGAGUGGAGCGUGGGAGGGAGAGAGGGUUGAAACUAUUUCUCUUGCCUCUCUGGUACGCCGGUUGUGAUUUGAAUACAUCCAGUUAGUGGCGCGUGCCUCGAAUUCCCGGCUACCCGACGGAAAUGGUUAAAGGAGCCACUCGUUACUUCGUUUCGCCGAUAUUACGCCUCGUUCGCGUUUCCAACGUGUCCCGUCCCCGAUUUGUUCCCCUCGUGUUCGAUCUCUUUCCACCCUGACGAGUGAUAAUUGGACGAGGAAAGGGUUACGAGGGCGUGAGGUGAAAGACAGAGAUGGAAAGUUUUCCUCCGUUCCUCCGUAACGCGAAUUGCGAGUUGCACGUAUUCGUUUGUAAAGCGGUAAUUAAUCUUUCGAUUACCCGUGUAUUUAGUUUUUCAUACCGUGGAUCAUCACUGUUUGAAAAAGGGAUGGAGUUUUUCCAAAUUUGUCCAACCAAUCUUUUCUGUAUUCAUCUCGAAUUAACGCGAGAUAAGUUUUUGUUAAUUCAGAGAAUUUUUUUGGAAUACGUAAUUUCAAGCAUGACUCGAUUACAUUUGUAAUUCGAGUGUUGUGAUUGAUUGAAAUAAAGCAAUUGUUAGUCUUUUUUUUUCUUUUUUGUCAAAGUGAGAUUUAGUUUAUUUUCUGAUUUUAAAAGAAAUAGGAAUACUAUAAAAUGAUAAAUUAUAUUAACGAGGAUUUGAAAUAUUUUUUUUAUUACGGCGCGAUAACGGAAAAUAAAAUGACAAUCGUAUGAUUUCCGGAAAUCGCAUAUGCAGUUGUUGUAAAACGAUAACGGUAAUUUAUCGGUGGCCGCGAUAAAAACCUCCCUAUUAACAACACGUUUUUUUUCACGUUUCAACUCGUCUCUCUCGAAAGUAACGAUAUCUCGAAUUUACAACUCGAUUAUCCAUCUUUAUUGAAGAAAAAGUGAAAAAAUCAAAAAGUACUUUAUUUAUCACCGUUUCGAGGCUCUCCGCGCCAAAAAAAUAAAAACAAAAUGAAAAAUCCCAUAUCACUCCCUCUCCUUUCUCCAUAGGCCGUGGAAAUGGAUUUCCUUGGUCGGACGCGUGGGCGAUGGAUGGAUCCAAUUUGAAAGUUGUUGCACGUUACGUUUAAACAAGCCGGUCGGUUUCCACCAGCCGGGAUUACUACUCCCCCAACUUACGAGGAACACGCGUAUCUUUGAACGGAGCCGCGAUAAUCUCCUCGACUCGACAUAAUUUGAUAUUUAAAUGGGGUCGAAACAGUUUGGCAACAGCAAUUUGUCUUCCCUUCACUUUCCCUUCCCUCCCCCAACAACACACGUUCCCUUCGUUUUCUAUCUUCGACGAUUCGUAAACGAAGCGAUUUAAAAAACGUGCGCGCGUUUUAGAUUGGAAUGUACUACUUGAAACUUUUGCAACCGCGUUUACAUUAUUACAUUCUCAUUCGGGAAAAUUUUAAUAAUCGUUGCUCGAAUAAUGGAAUAAUUAGUUAAACAACUAGUUGAAUAUUAUAAUGUUUCCCGUAUCGUAUUAAUUUUUCUAAACGAAGAAAAAAAGAGAGAGAAUUAAAAAUAAUACCUCGUCGAAUUACACUCGUUAUUCAUUUUCAUAUACCUUGGCAUUGUGCAAUUAUUCCGAUUAAUAAAAUAAAAUUUUAAGAGUGUUUUAAGUUUCAUUGAAGGAUUGAUACGUUACAGAGAUUGAUCAGACAAAAGGGAUUCGCACGAGUUGCGCACUCCAAUAGACGGAUCUCGUUUCCGGGUGGAAAUAAUUUUAUUUAAUAUUCGGGCGGGAGUUGGAUUCCCGCGAAACUCGGCAAUCGUCUAGAUUAACGAGGACAACGCGACCGAGUGAUUACCGAGCAGGGAGGGAGCGAAGAGGCGGGGAUGGAUAGAUGGAACAGAGACGAUCGGGUAACAGGUUGUUGUAACAGUCUCGAAACAAUUAUCCUCGUCGUUCGUGUGUAAUAAUAACAAACCUCCGUUACUCGCUGCGUCUCCAAUCAUCUAAUUGCGAGGAUCUGGUGGGAGGAAACGAAGACACGUACGACGUUCGCAAUCCUCGCGAAAAGCGACCAGCGAGUAAGUAAGCGAAAUUCGACGUUCGACUUUCCCGGAAUUAGCUACCGACUUUGUGACGCGUCCGCCCCUUCCUCUUCCCCCCACACAACUAAUCAAAACUUCCUUCCUUCCUUCCUUCCUUCCUUCCUUCCUUCCGUUUUCGCGCGACGUCGAUGCAAUGGGUUUCCAAUAAUCUGCGGAUACGCGGAGUAAUGAUACAAUGCGAUGAUAUGUGGUGACGAUUUAAUUUUGAUCCCCGACUUGUCACGAAAUUUCAAGAUAUAUCUGAAGAUUUAUACAAGAAUUAGAAAGAAGAAAAGAAAUUAUAUAGUAAUAUAAAACUAUUAUAAUUUGUCAAGUUGUAUUGUAAGAUGGUCGAAAGAAAAUAUGGAGGUUUGUCAUUAAAAUUUGAGAUUCUUAAGAAGGUAAAAAUUCUCCCAAAAUAAUCAUAUGCUCAUUUUCGAAUACAAGUGAGUAGUCUCAAUCUAAGGAAAAUUCUUAGAGUGAGACCGGGGAAGUAAGCCACUCACAAAGUCUCCUGUUUUCCAGGAAAUUGAUCAGUAAGUGUUUGUGAUAAUUUUUCUCAAGUAGGAUAAUGCUGAUUGCCAUUGAGACUGGCUGGUCCUCUCAAUAUCACGUUGACAAAUUGUUUCCAAAUAUACAAAAUGAAAGAACGUCCAAAUUCUUCUCUUCGAAAAAAUUGUUUGUUGUAUGUUUAAAAUUUCAACUUGUAAUAAAAAUAACAAGAGGAAGAUCUGGAUGAAACAUCUGAGUCGUAAAGCGAUCCUUCUAAACUCCCAUGUCUAAUCUCGUUCACACGAGAUUACACAACAAAAUAAAAUAAUUUGCACGUUCCCUCGAAUAUUAUCCAGCCGAUGAUCGAAUGUAUUCGAUCGAACAGUUAAUACGAUUCCACUUCGUUAUCGGUUGUUAUAGGGCAGCGAAAGAAGCAUGGGAAGAGGAGAAUGAGGAAGAAGAGAAGAGUUGUUGAUGGAGAGAGAAACGACCGGUAAUUUCCCCGUAAUUCGUUAAAAUAAUAUAAUACGAAAGGGGUUGGGAAUAAUUUUGACGCGUAUCAAAUUAAUAAGUAAUAUCGAGUUUACCGAAUGAAAUAUUAAUUGCGCGCGAUCAGGGGGAGGGGGUGGAGGGGUUGCGUUAGGGCAGCGUGCGAUGCAUCCGCGAGAGCACGGUCAGCUCCGCGAGAUACAACGUGAAUUACAGGGUGGAUGAAUUCGUGGGGUGAGGAGGGGAGGAUUCGUUUUUCACGCCAGGUUAACGAGCGUGCGCGUAAAUCCGCGCGUGGAGGGGGCGCUGGGCAUAGGAGGAGGAUAAAAUAUUUGCGCGGAAAAUACUUGGAAAAUCUAUCUCCCUUUCCCUCCCUCCCUCUCUCUCUCUCUCUGUAUGCAAUAACAACGCCGACAAUUGAAUUAUUAAGCGACGGUACGUGCUAUCGACAACGUAUUAAAAGGACAACCGACAAGCGACAAAGGGAGGGGGAGGAAGGCAGGUUUGAAAAGCGGUGUAACCGAGGCACCGAUCUGGCCGGUUAGUUCGAACGUGGAUCGGAAUGGUUGAUUUUUGCGUAUCAAUCGGUGAUGAUCCGUGAUCACCGUUCAUCCGUGUUUCCAAUUGUGAACUGUGCGAAUAAAAGAGGGAGAGGGGGGAGAGAGUUAGCCGAGAUGCUCGAGGAGAGAAGGCUGGAGCUGAGCAACGCGAUAAAUAAUUCUGUCGCGAACGUUCGGUCGCGACGUUCCAGGAAUUCGUUUACACGACUUUGCGCCGCAAAAGCAGGGAAAAGAUUGAGUUACCUUGCCACUUCUCUCUUUGGCCCGUGGAAUUCCGAUUGAAAACCCCUCCCUCUCUCCUCUCAUCUCCUCUCCUCUCCUCUCCGUGACCGAGUUGACGAAUCGGUUGGAUUUCUAUCGGGAGGAAUCUCGUCGUUGCCCCCUCUCUCCCCCCUUGUCUCUACGGAAAUUAGUAUAUUUUGUGUGGAGAAUUAGCCGGGUAUUUGGCAGCAUUCGAUCUCGAGAUCGAAUAUGGAAUGGAAUGAACACGGUUCUUUCUUCCGACGCCGAGAUGUCGACGUCGAGAUACGAGGAAGAAAAGGAAGAGGAGGAGGAGGAAAAGGAGAAAGGAAAGAAGCCGCGAAAGUAGUAGCGGGCCGGUAGUCGAGUUGGAGAACAAAGUCGAUAUUAAAAUCAAUCCAACUGUCGGGCAACGAGUUCGACUGAGUUUGUAAACUUAAAAGUUCCGUAGUCGCCUCCCCCUCUCCCUUACCUUCCUUCUUACUCCACCAUCCGCAUAUUGAACUUUAGUCAAGUUCACUCUGCCAUUUGCGUUCCUCGCCGGGUGUGGAGAGGGAUGGUUAAGAAAGCUCGACCGAGGAGGACAACGAAAACGAGGAAAAAACCUCGAGGAAGGAGAGAGAGAGAGAGAGAGAAGCGAAAGAUUAGGAGGGGGAAGAGGAAAGAAACGGAGGGAGAAGUCGAGGGACGAGAGAGGACAGGUUGAUGGGAGGCGAAAGAAUGGAAGAACGAAAGAAAUAGUGGAAGGAACCCCUCCGUAUCCGCUAAGUAGCACUCCCGAGGACGACAUUUCGAGGAUCUCGUAUUUUAUGCGCCUCGUUCGUAUAUUUUUUUCCCCCCUCCGUUAACGGGAGAAGAAAAGGAGACAAGAGUUUGCACGCGACGAGUUUGAAUUAUGCAUCGUCGAUAUGCAUCGUCCUCCGUCUCUCCUUUCAAUUACAUUAACCUGUACAGUUUCGAAGGGGGAGGGCGCGAGUUAUAUAUACGUUUAAACGAUAUGGAAAAAACGAUAUGGAAAGAAGCGGAAAGAUUGAGAAAGAUUGAGAAAGAUGAGAGGAAGAGGGCGAGUUUUAUCGCUUGUUAAAAAGAAAAAAAAAAAAGUCUCUGAAUUCCUAAGUAAAGUUUUCGAUUAAACGGUCCGUCUUUCGUCGUCGACGUCUCAACAAUUUUUCUUCCCCCUCCAACUUGAUUCUCCCUCCAACCUUUUCGUUUUCCAUACCCUUGUUUUUUCUCUCCGAAACUGGCAAAACGGAAAAGGGGAGGAUAUACAAGACAACUACGUUAAUUAAAAAACAAAGUAGCACCGUCCCUACCUUCGUUCGAUCGACGAAGGGAAGGGAAAUCCGAAGUCUGAAGGAUUGGCCUAUGCGCAAAAACGAGAGAGCGAGAGAGAGGAGGAAAGAAGGAGUAAGAAGGAGAAAGGGAGAGGAAGAGGUGGAGAAGAGAGGGGGUGGGUCCGUCAUUAAGGUUAUACAAAUCGCCGAUUACGCCUCGCUGUUUAACGAGCGCCGAGUUUCGCGAAUAUUCACGGCUCGAAACGGAAGCUGGAGACUAGCCGGCAGUAAAGGCGGGUAAAUUAAACAUUUCGCUCGUGCGUUUUAAGCGGGGAGGGCGGACGGAAUUCGCUCCUCCUCCUCCUCCUCCAUCUCUUGGUAUCCCCGCUCGACACCUCCCCCCUCGUCACGUUGAAAAGCUUUCCGCUUCUUAUUCCACGGCUCGUGGUGCUCGUGAUUCCAGCGCGACCGUGUGCUCGAGUGUCGUCGGCCUACGACCUCGUAAUUAUCACGUACGAAAACCACCGUACAAAGCGGCCACUCGAAUGCCUAUGUUAAACUUCAUUUCCAUCCGAUGAGGAAAUAUGGUGGAUCGAAUGGAAAGAGAGAGGGGUUCUUUCGUUCUCGUUGUUCCCUCGAACCCGAUUAAUUAUCCUAUAAUUUUUUCAAUGAGUAAUAUAGAAAUUGGAUAAAUAUAUAUUGUUAGGACAUAAUGGAUUGUCCAUCCCGCAUUAUCUCUCGCGCGUUAAAUUGGCAUGAUGGUGAAACGAUGAAUGAUGGAAGGAUGAUGUUAUAAUUAUUAUAUUUCAUUGGAAAUAGAAAAUUGUGAAUAGCGGAUUAUUUGAAAGUUUGUCGAAAGUAAUCGAUCAUUUUAUUCCAUCAUUUCUCAUCGGUUACUUAUUCGUUUUAUUAUUAACAUUGUGGUGGAAAAGAAAGGGUACGAAGGGUUUCUCUCGUUUAUAAUUUCAUAUCGAAUAUUGAUAUGCAAAUAUGCGUUAUAUCUAAAAGGAUCUUGUCCAAUCACGACAAUUAUCAAAGAUCUCGCCGACAAUUGAUAAAACGUAAGAAUCAUUACGUUUAAAUUGGCGUACAAACGAUAUUUCAAAUAUUUGUCGACAUAUUUUUGUUUUCCCGUUAACAAGAAAAUAUACGUAUAUUUUCACGUUAAAAAGAUAAAAGUCGGAUUAAUUUUAACAAACACUGGAAUAAUAUUACUUUUUUUACGUGAAAACUGUAUCAAAUUGACAGGAAGCGUGAUUAGUUAAACGGUUAAAUUUAUCUUUCCUCUUUUUUUUCCAUUUCAAUUCGUUAAUAGUUGAUAAAUGAGAUGAAAAUUGGGGGAAAAAAACGUCAAUUGUCGUAUUUCCCUAUAAAUACAUCUCGAAGAUCGAAAUUGCAAAGAUAUAUUCUCCUAAUAACCUAUUUUUUCCUACCUAUUACCUUUAUCGGGAUUACGAAAUACUUCAAUUAUUAUGUCCCGGCUCUCGAAUCAACGAGGAACAAUAACAAGUUUGAGGCCGAUGAGAUGGAAAGAAGAGAGGGUUCGCCGAUUUCAUUGCGGAAACACCGAAAGGUGGGCCGUAAAAGUGGCAAUAAGACCGGGACAAACAAACGGGGCUGUGUGUUUCCCUCCCCGGUAGGCGAAGAAGCUUUAGAAUUCGUAAUUAAACGGCUCGAGUCUCCGUGGCUGAAUGUACGAGAGACUUUUGAGCAUAAAGGUUUUAUGCGCGACCCCCUCCUCCCCCUCUCUCUCGCCAUCCAUGCUUUUUUCCUUCGUCUUUGAUACUCUCGAAACCUCGACACCCGUUCACCAUACCGCUGGAUCGCGAUGAGCUUCGAUGGGCUGCAAAAUUUGGGAAUUGGGAUAAUAAUUGAUAAUGGAAUGAUAAUGGGAGUCAGGAUGAAAUUUUCUUAAAAUUUUUCAUCCAUUUUUCUCUUUAUUCUACGGACGAUAAAUGGAUUCGAAACGAUUAUUAAUUGGGAUGAGAAGAGAAUCGGUCAGUGCUUGGAAUUUUCUUAAAAUUUGUCCAAACUCGAUCGAUACAAUCGAGCUGCGCCAAGUAAGCGGACCCGUGCAAUAUAAACAAAGCCGGGAAUAAACUAUCUAAAGAUAAAUAACAACUGGACAACAAGAACCAGUUUUGUGGAAAAACUGUGCGCUCUGUGUAUCGACGAUUCCCCUCGAAAAAACGAGGGCCACUCAAGAGCGGUUAAGAGUCGAAUCUCGAUCGAGUUGGGUUGGGAAAAAAAUUUGUUGCGGAACGGAUCGAAAUAAACAUCAACAAAAAUUUUCCACUAUACUUUUUUAAAAGAUCGAUGUAUGUAAUGUUCUUUCAGAUUGAUUUCAGAAAAAGUUGCGAUUAACUGUUUAGACCAUCAAGAAAUUUACAUUCUAAUAGGAAAAGAAAAGAAAGAAGAAGAAGAAUGAAGGAAAAAGAGGGUUAAUCGAAAUGCAUAUCGAUAUCUGUCUCUCCAAUCUCUCUCUCUCCGGGAAUGUUUCGUCUGAUCACAUGUUGGAAAGUCGUAGAAGGAAGCGGGCACGCGUUUCGAUAAUUCAAGCAGCGACAACGUGUCACGAGAGGCCGUGGCUCGACUUUAUUUCGACACCGGGUAGGCCGCGCGCUUCCUCGAAGGUCGACAUAAGAGAAAUACAUAAAUUAUGCGGGCGGCGGCGGCGGCGGAGGGUCAGGCGGAGACGUGACUGCAACUUGCUUCGUAUUAAACUUAUGAAUAUAAAUCACAGGCCGGCUCGUUUCACGUCCCCCGACUCAACAUGCACUUCGUUCUCGUUUCAUACACUCGAUCGAAUCACGAUCCCUUCACCUUUCUCCCUCUCCUCUAUUUCCUUCCCAUCCUAUUCUUCCCUUUUGUUUCUCCCCGACUUCUCUCGAAUUUUUCUCUUUCUCUCUCUCUCUUAUUAACUCGAUGGUGUCAAAGUCCCGGUUCUUUAUUCGAGCUAGACGAGUUUAUGUUUCCCAGACACGCACCACGUUCGACGAAUAAUCACCACAGGCAUUUCUUCGCCGUUCCGAUGGACUAUUUUGAUCAUUCGUCCGGGAUCGAAGAAUCACGAUCGUCAAGAAUUUAUCCAGUGAUUGGAUAUUGGAGUUAAUUCGUUAAAUAGACUCGAGAUUUGUACCAAUCUGAUCAAGAACGAUUCUUAUCUUAACUUGAGUUGAACGCAAAAUUUAUUAAAUUAUAUUGUGAGAAAUAAAAAAAAUUUUUAUCGUUAGAAUAUUCCUAAUGCAUCGAGGUUUAGAAUCGUGAUUUCAUUGCCAUCCAUCUCUGUCAGAUCAGAUUAAUAACAUAGAAACAAAAGUGUAAAAAAAAAAGGAAGAGUUGGACUCUUUGGUUCGUUCAAUUUCACUUCGAUUCCUUUUAUCAAAAAAAUCAAGAAGCAACAACUCGAAUGGAGAAUUUCAGAAGCAGAAACUGCGCCCAAUGUCUCCGUUCCGACUUUUUCCUCGAUGACGCAUCGCACGAGAGAAGUGCCGUUUCCAUCGGCACUUCCGUUUCGCCGCAUCCGCGUUACACACACACACACACACAUACACGCGAUGAAAAACCGCGAAUACUUCUUCUACGUAUAUCUCGUUCUCGAAACGAAGAUUAACGAUUCCUUCUCUCUCGCCCCGGAUUCACCACCACCUUCCCCUGUCCCAUGCCCCGGCGAGUUACCUCGUGAGAGGCGUUUUCAGAAACUUGGAUAUAUACGAAGGACGACCGUAGUUUACGAGACGUCUUUUUAUCCCCGCGUCACAAAUCAUACGGGGGAGAAAUUGUGCGUACACGAAAUAAAAGUGAUGUAUAGCGUAUGUCGAGACGGCUCGAUUCGAAACAAAUCGAGAAAUGGAGUUGGGGGUCGAACUUUCGUAUAUCGCGUAUGAGGGGAACGUAAUUUCAAGAAGUCGAGUCGGAUGUGUAUACGUGCGAAUGUAGGGGGAGGAGGGAGGUGGUGGAUUCGCGUGAGGAUAAGGCGGAAACUUAUCGAGGAUCGGGAAUCCUAUCGGGUACACGCGCGGGGCAAUGUUAACCGUGACGAAGAUUAAACCCCGUUCGUGAUAAUUAUUAUUCGUUGUGACAGUUAGGAGGAGAGCUACAAGUAGGCGAGAUACCUUGGACGGUUGUUUCGAGCAAGAAUUGGUAAAAGUAUACAUGUUGGACGAAUACGAAAAUUUCAAAUUAUUAUCCUCUUUAAUGCCAAGAAUUCGUGUUUUAUAUUGGCGUGUCUUGGAUACUUUUUUUCAAUCCAGAUAUAUCUAAUUAUUUUAGAUAAAUUACUUAAACUGUAUUUGAUAAAUAUGUAGCUCUUCCCUAUUUUAUUCACUUACUUACGAAACUAAUUCGUUGACAUCAAAUUACACGCAAUCUGAUUUUAACAUUUUAACCACAGGGAAAAAGUGGAGAUUCUUUAUUUAACGAUCAAAGAAUCGUACGGGAAAAGAGUUUCGAUGGUUUAAAAAGCUGGAAACCGCGUUCUUCCGUAAUUCGGAUGCAUAUCGGGAGAGCCUUGGGGAAUCCUGUGAUCACGCAUGGAUGCCCUAUCCGAUCCGAUACACCAACAAUCCGAACCCAAAGCGUGUCAGUGGCUCGACGUCAUACAUAUCUGAUAGCAAAGAGGGGUUUUCGUAUCCCUCCUUGGAGAGAUUCUUUUUUUCUCUCUCCCUUCCCUCCGCUGUUUCCCUCAACUAUCCUCCCCUUUCCGCGACUUCCGUCACUCGAGUUUUACGUGACGAAGGGAAAAAAAAAAAUCCCUAACCUAGAUCAAUUUCUUCCCUCUCGCCUCGAAAACACGGACGAGGCGUAUUUCCAGAGGGGAGGCGCGUAUUUCCGAGAAGCGCCGAGAGUUUACCUCGUUGCGACCAAUUUCUAUGCACUUUGACUCGAGUCUUUGGUCCGCAUUUGAGCGGGCGAAAUAUCAAGGAGAAGGAGACUCGUGGGUAACUCGUUUAACCGUUCCGUCGUCGACGACGACGACGACGACACCGGUUUUCGAUCAUUUUGACUACAACGAAUGAAAUAUAUUCGUCGAAAUUGGUAUGGCCGAUUUAAUAAACGGGUGGGGGUAAAUAUUCUCGUGGCAAAUAUUUGACGAUGUUUGAUCCCGUAAUAUCCAUAUCCUGGAUAUAUCUAUUCCAUAUAUUGAUCUAAACGCAAAACUAUUACUAUAUAUGUAAAGAGAGAGAGAGAGAGGGAGGAGAGAACCUUGACGCGGAGAAACUUGACGAGAGCCAAUUUUUCCCUUAAUUAACGGGGAGAGGGGAGCACAAUGGAUGAAUUUCCACGAUCGAUCCGAUUUCGAAUGAAGGGCGAAACGUUCACGGAUCCGUUUGCGAGUUUUCCUCCUCCUCCUCCUCUUCCUUCUCCUCCAGUUAGUUCCUCCGUGUUCGAUCGUCGGGGAAUGGUUAAGAGGGAAAGCCAGAGGCAGAAGCGUUUCCCGAUUUUCCGCUCGACGGAGCGUAACCUUCCCGCGGAUUAAAUUCGAAUCGAUAUUUUUAUCGGUCAUUCUCGUUACGCCAGCUUACAAUAAUGUUGGCGGGAAACGUUCUCUCUCGAAGAGAGAGAGAAGAUCGUUCCUCCUCCCUUGAUAAUCCUCUCUCUCUCUCUCCUCUCAUCCGCGCUAAGACCUGCCCGUUUCCUCGUUUACGAUUCGGAGGGAAGGCAAGGGAAGUUAAGGGAAAAUGUCGCGGUGAUAGCUGGUUUAUUAGGGGCAGCUCAUGCGCGCCAACCCUUCCACCGGCCACGCCGCGAGAGAGCCGUUCAUUUUUAAUGGCGCGCGCGAGAUGGCCGAGAUGCUCUCGAGAGAAGUGGACGGGAGAGAGAGAGAGAGAGAGGAGUUGCGUCGCUUUAAUAGAGGCUGGGGAGAAACAGGUGUACGAGAAUCGUAAAAGGUACUGUAACCGCGCGAGGAAAUUGCCCGAGAGAGAUGAAUCUUUCUCUUUCUCUCGCGUCUUUUCUCGCGAGACGAUCGACGGUAUCUUACGAAAUACCGAGAACCGAUCUCCCUCCAAAGAUGAAUAUUCGUAUUUCUUGGAAGGUAGAAACAUUUGUUGUUUCGAAUGUAUAAAUCAGAUGUAUCGUUCGUGUGAAGAAUUGGCGAAGAAAAAAAGAUGAAGAAUACUUUAACACCUUCCCCCCUUGAAUUCUCGUCCCGUGUGUAAUAAAAUAAAGUCUGCGCCUCUCAGAAAUGGAUUUUUCACGAGUCGUUAAAUCAUACGUGCAAAUCCUCGAGUAAAAAAAAAGAAAGAA
Long non-coding RNA from Apis mellifera (honey bee), 13339 nucleotides. RefSeq lists it as uncharacterized. NCBI's taxonomy places the organism in Eukaryota, Metazoa, Arthropoda, Insecta, Hymenoptera, Apidae. The record is from RefSeq and is a predicted model, not a curated record. The transcript has 7 exons.